AUCAGCUGCUGCAGUUAAAGCUCGUAGUUGGAUUUCGGGUGGGUCUUAGCGGUCCGCCUCUGUGGGGACUGGUAAGGCCCUCCUUUCUGCCCGGGGCAGGGUCUUGGGCUUCACUGUCUGGGACCUGGAAUCCGCGAGGUUACUUUUAAUAAAUUAAAAUGGUCCAAACAAGCCUACCCUCUGAAUACUUUAACAUGGAAUAACACGAUAGGACUCUGGCCUAUCUUGUUGGUCUGUAGGACCGGAGUAAUGAUUAAAAAGGACAGUCGGGGGCAUUCGUAUUUCAUUGUCAGAGGUGAAAUUCUUGGAUUUAUGAAAGACAAACUUCUGCGAAAGCAUUUGCCAAGGAUGUUUUCAUUAAUCAAGAACGAAAGUUGGGGGCUCGAAGAAAA
This 392-nucleotide ribosomal RNA is filed under the name Oogamochlamys sp. MACC 74. RNAcentral describes it as "SSU rRNA". It matches the Rfam family "Eukaryotic small subunit ribosomal RNA", at positions 608 to 1007 of the family's 1831-position model. The record is from RNAcentral. Lineage: Eukaryota; Viridiplantae; Chlorophyta; Chlorophyceae; Chlamydomonadales; Chlamydomonadaceae.